This is a long non-coding RNA of Panicum hallii, 594 nucleotides long. RefSeq lists it as uncharacterized. The transcript is spliced from 3 exons. NCBI's taxonomy places the organism in Eukaryota, Viridiplantae, Streptophyta, Magnoliopsida, Poales, Poaceae. The record is from RefSeq and is a predicted model, not a curated record.
CGGAGUCCUUGUCCCUGCACGACUGUCGGCUAGCCUCGCGUGUCGUACGUGUCUUCCGUCGCCGCGGCUCAUCUCCCCUCCUUGUCGAUCGAGCAGAGAGCAGCCAUGGCGCUGCACCUUCUCGGAUCCAAGCUCCCCCAAGCCCUGCCGCGUCAUCUCGUGAAGGGGCUGCGCCCGCUGGCUAAGGCUACCGUUCCGUUGGUACAGGAGAGCUCCGCCUUUGGUUCGUUGCCCACCAAGAGCCAAGGAUCUACUGCCUAGAGCCAACGCUACCUGUAGCCUCAGUUCAUCCUCAAAGGCGCAGGCAGGUUAUGAUUCAAGUUUUGGAAGAAGGAACUUCAGUUCAGGCCUUCCCACUGAAAAUACUCGGGUAUAGUGUUCCGCUCAUAAUUCUAAUGGCAUUAAACUCUUCCCAGAUAAUUGAUUGUUUAAUUAUACAGUUAUUUGUCACUAAGAUUUCUAACAUGUUGGAACAUCUUUUCUUCCUUGCAUGCUGGUUUAUUCAUGUAUGAAUUAGUUAUCACUAUAGGUAUCAAAUCAAAUUUCUAAAUAAUUGUGGUCUCUCUUGAUACUAAAGGUUGGUGUAUUUCUUUG